RNAcentral lists this long non-coding RNA (1032 nucleotides) under Varanus komodoensis (Komodo dragon). Its description in RNAcentral is "lncRNA (ENSVKKG00000016209.1)". The record is from RNAcentral. Lineage: Eukaryota; Metazoa; Chordata; Lepidosauria; Squamata; Varanidae.
CCCUCUGUAAGGGUGCGGACCCGAUUAUGUGGGUCCGCCCCCGGAGCCGGAUGGAUCCAGAAGGAUUCCUGAAGGCCCUGGGGGAGUUUCCGGCUGACAAGACGGGUGCUCCUGUCGAGGCUCUGGUCGAACUGUGGAAUGGGGAGAUGACCAGGGCUGUAGACACGAUCGCUCCUAAGCGUCCUCUCCCACCGGGCAGAGCCCGCUCUUCCCCUUGGUAUACUCCUGAAUUGAGGGCGAUGAAGCAGGUUGGGAGACGACUAGAGCGUAGGUGGAGGAAAUCACGAGAUGAAUCUGACCGAACACACUUAAGAGCCCACUAUCGGGCCUAUGCUGUGGCAGUGAGGGCGGCAAAAAAGAGAUUCUUUUCCGCUUCCAUUGCCUCCUCACAAUGCCGUCCGGCGGAGCUCUUUCGAGUGGUGCAAGGCCUGGUCCGUCCAGGUCCAAAGGAAGACCUGAUUCCACCCUCAAAGACCCGCUGUGACGACUUUGCCAGGCAUUUCAGGGAGAAAAUCGCUCAGAUUCGUCACGAGCUGGACACCACUAUUGAUUCAGAGGUUUCAAAGGAGACACCAACGCUGCCGUCUGGUCCAGAUUUAUUGGAUGAAUUUCAGUUAUUGCGGCCCGAUGAUGUGGACAAGGUGCUUGGGCGAGUACAUCCAACCACUUGCCUUUUGGACCCUUGCCCGUCUUGGUUAAUAAAUGAUUCCAAGCACGGGAUUGGAACCUGGAUCUUGGAAGUGGUUAACGCUUCUCUGAGGGAGGGUCGGGUGCCGGCCCCUUUGAAGGAGGUGGUAGUCCGACCGGUCCUGAAGAAGGCGUCACUGGAUCCAGAGAUGGCCACUAAUUAUAGACCAGUGGCCAACAUCCCGUUUCUGGGCAAGGUGUUAGAACGAGUGGUGGCGGGACAACUCCAAGCACUCUUGGAUGAAACUGAUUAUCUGGACCCAUUGCAGUCCGGCUUCAGACCCGGGUACGGUACUGAAUCUGCCUUGGUCGCCCUGUAUGAUGACCUGUGCAGGGAGAAGGACA